Molecule: long non-coding RNA, 471 nt
Organism: Carassius carassius (crucian carp)
Lineage: Eukaryota; Metazoa; Chordata; Actinopteri; Cypriniformes; Cyprinidae
Exons: 3
Source: RefSeq, a predicted model, not a curated record
UCAGGCGGCUCUGUACAGACUGAGCGGGGACUGGAACCCGCUGCACAUCGACCCCAGCUUCGCUGCGAUGGGAGGGUUCGAGUCUCCCAUCCUGCACGGCCUGUGUUCGUUUGGCUUCGCUCGGCACGUUCUGAAGCAGUACGCCGCUAACGACGUGUCCAGGUUCAAGGCCAUCAAGGUGCGUUUCGUGAAGCCAGUGUAUCCGGGACAGUCUCUGCAGACGGAGAUGUGGAAGAAGGGAACAGGGUUCACAUCCAGUGCAAGGUGACGAAGCGUUCGGUGUGUGUGUGUGUGUGUGUUUAGUCCUUCAGUGUGUGUUCAGCGCUGAUCUGUUCUGGCUCUAGGUGAAGGAGAGUGGAGACGUGGUGCUGUCUGGAGCGUAUAUAGAUCUGCAGACGGAUGUGUGUGUCAGCGCCGGGUCUCCGCAGGUCUGCACACACACACACACACACACACACACACACACAUACA